This is a non-coding RNA of Phalacrocorax carbo (great cormorant), 2110 nucleotides long. NCBI's taxonomy places the organism in Eukaryota, Metazoa, Chordata, Aves, Suliformes, Phalacrocoracidae. The record is from RefSeq and is a predicted model, not a curated record.
CGCCUCCCGGCACCUGCGGUCACUGAGCCACAGCUAUGGGCUAGGCUGGAAGACCGUUUUUCAGAUGGAAGAGCAACGCCUGGAAUACGUGCUCUCGGAGAACGGGAGGCGAGGACCCAACCCUCAGCACUUGCUCUCCACGGCUCCCUCCCCCCAGACGUCGAACGGGUGGGCACUGGCUCCAGCAGCGCCCUGGGUCUGGGGGCUCACGGUGCCCGCGCCGUAAGCACCACAACAGCGUGAGGGCCCCGACUCCUGCCUUGCCUGCCACCGGCAUCAGCUGGAAGAAAUUCUGAGUUGUGCAAGUGCAGCCCACGGCUGGCAGAGCUGGGGGCACUGGGACACCUGGCAAGAAGAAACAAGGAGGGUGCAUGAGAAGAGUUUCCUCAGGAGUGAAGGAACGAUGCUGAGAUACGGAGGUUGGACUAAUUCAGGAGGACCAGGAUGAAGGGAAAGGGCGUGUGGCUGUUUGGGACCACAGGAGAAAGAGGCUUGUGUGCCACGCUCCAGCUUUCCUCCCAGCACUCGGGGUGGCUGAGUCACACUGUUAACGCCGGUGAAGAGGAGGAAAAGCGAAGGCAGUGAGACUUGCCCGCUGUGGCACAAAGGCAGCUGGCAGUGGGACCGCUGUUGCGGUGGGGUCAGCCUGGCCCCAGGGGCCUGCAGCAGCUUCGGCGAGGCACCCCGCACGGGCUGCUUCACUCAGAAACAUCUUGAGAGGACAAAGAAAACUUCUCCUGUCAGUGCAGCAAGCCUGACGGAAAAACAGCCGGGGGUCCACGGGGGGAUUUUCAGCGCCUCUGACAGACUCGAGCGCACGUCUCCGCUGUUCUGCGCGCUCCUGGCACAGGGGUCAUUUACCUUAACCCUGCCUCGAGAACAGGGGAUGUGGUUCAGUGGUGCUAAACCUGGACGUGGAGGGGGACGGCCUCACGCCUCCAGGCUGGUAUUGCACUUCCCUCAGCUCAUCGCCCAGCAUGUUUCUGGAAAACUGCUCCCUCAGGGCGAGCAGUGGGGUGCAGCUAGUGCAACCACCUCACCUCACAGCUGGAAACAAAACCUGGCAAAGUCCUGAAUCCUCCCGAGCUUUGGGAUCCUUUUUUACGAUCAGCUUCUUAGGGAGCCCCUCAGACACAGUAUCAGAGCCCCGCACAGCCCCAGGCAAAGCCCCGUUUGAAGAAGAACCAGACCAAGGAGCUUUUCAAGAGUGUCAAUUCCAAAAGACAUGUAACAAGUAAAAGUGGUCACGGGUCCUUUCUGCUCAUUGUAGCGUGGCUCGCUCGCAUUUAUUUGGGAAAAAAGCGUGAGCAUGAGAUGGGGGAAGGAGCUGAAGGCAAGAUCUGCCGCAAGUCUCUGCACAGGUCGCAGUAGAGAGGGAAACUGGGGCGCCGGGGAAGGACGGGGCCCAGCGGCUGCCGGGAGCGGGGCUCAGCCCCGUGGCACACCACAAGGGAAGCUGUGCGGGCUCCCACGCCAAGACUUCGCUCGCUUCCUCACCUUGCUGGUUUCCCUUAUCACAUUGAUCAAAAUCCCAUCUUCUCACCCGUUUUAGCACCUGAAGGCUGAAGACUUAAAUAAUUUGAAUGGAUGUCUUGGUAAAGCUUUUCUGAAGGAGUAGGCUAGAGCUCAAACCCCUACCUCACAAUACCGCUCCCCUUCAAUAUUCGACAAGGGUCAGAGUCAACCACUCGCUCCACACAAGAGCCCUGUGUGGGGAGCAAGGCAUGGCUCGGUGCGUAUGGCAAGGUGGCAGAAUCAGACCAUGAAUACAUUACUAUAGGUCAUCACCUGUUUCCACAGCUUUCAGGAAAGGAACAAAACGUUUCCUGGGCUGUGUGGCUGAAUUAACAGAGUCUUCACCGCAGCCUGCUGUACCACAGCUAAGCGGAGGUGCCAGCGAGGUUUUCCGGAGAUGCGCCCGAGCCAGCCAUGCCCAGACCAGCGCGGUGGGACCAGGCGCCCAAGCACCCAGCCAGCCUCCCGGCAGCUGCUGCUAUAACCUGGCAUUCACAAAGUAUCACCUCUGCCUCUCGCUGCCUGAGAAUGAGACCCACAGGGGAUAAUCUUAUAGCCCAAUCACACAGAGCAUCGUGUAUUGAAUACCAAUGGU